This is a long non-coding RNA of Limanda limanda (common dab), 243 nucleotides long. RefSeq lists it as uncharacterized. Lineage: Eukaryota; Metazoa; Chordata; Actinopteri; Pleuronectiformes; Pleuronectidae. The transcript is spliced from 2 exons. The record is from RefSeq and is a predicted model, not a curated record.
AAAUAUGGCGAAGUACUUCUCCACUGAUGAAGAAAUUUAUUCUCAAGAGAAGCUGCCUCAGCUCCACGGUCCCUCCUGCAGCUUCCACUCCUGAUGCUAACCCCCUGUUUACAUCACACCAUCCGGGCAGACCUGGAGUCACAGAACUUUGUCCAGAGCUGCCGUCUGAGAAUUGUUGAUCAUAUAAUUUCCAGCAGAUGCCUUAAUGUAAUGUUUGUGCACAAUAAAUGACAUUGAUCAUAA